CGGUUAAUCGUUAAGCAGGCAAGACCUGGGCAAUUUAAAAAACGAGUUAAAGUUAAUGUGCCUGACUGGCAAUUUUUAGUGAGACAUUUGAUUCGGGAAGCAAUGGUGGAUGUGUUUGGCUAAAGUGAUGAGGCAGCCAACUAAAAAAGCCUUGUCCUAAAUCCUGGAAUCAGCAAAGUGGUUGUGAUGGAGUAAACAGGUGAUGAUUUUGAGAUCGGCCUUUCAUUCCAAUACCAAAUCCUUGGUGAUGGAUACUAUUGGGAGUACCAGUGAUUAGGUGGCCCAGACUGAGGAUGGUAGAUUCUGCUUCGGAGUGGCCAGUAUUCUACUGGCAGGCACAACAUUUGUCCGGACAAACCACCAAAUUCUGCAUGUCGUCGUGGGAUACCCUGAUACACUGACGCUCACCCCACAAUAGGAUUAAGUAUUAAACCAUAGCCGUAAGUAAUAAACUAA
Molecule: long non-coding RNA, 456 nt
Organism: Armigeres subalbatus
Lineage: Eukaryota; Metazoa; Arthropoda; Insecta; Diptera; Culicidae
Exons: 3
Source: RefSeq, a predicted model, not a curated record